Non-coding RNA from Trichobilharzia regenti, 45 nucleotides. Lineage: Eukaryota; Metazoa; Platyhelminthes; Trematoda; Strigeidida; Schistosomatidae. The record is from Rfam.
AUCCAGAUGACGGGUCUCAAAUAGGACGAAAUGCGCAUCCUGGAA